GCAAGUCGAACGGAAACAUGUCUAGCUUGCUAGACGAUGUCGAGUGGCGGACGGGUGAGUAAUGCUUGGGAACUUGCCUUUGCGAGGGGGAUAACAGUUGGAAACGACUGCUAAUACCGCAUAAUGUCUUCGGACCAAACGGGGCUUCGGCUCCGGCGCAAAGAGAGGCCCAAGUGAGAUUAGCUAGUUGGUGAGGUAAAGGCUCACCAAGGCAACGAUCUCUAGCUGUUCUGAGAGGGAGAUCAGCCACACUGGGACUGAGACACGGCCCAGACUCCUACGGGAGGCAGCAGUGGGGAAUAUUGCACAAUGGGGGAAACCCUGAUGCAGCCAUGCCGCGUGUGUGAAGAAGGCCUUCGGGUUGUAAAGCACUUUCAGUUGUGAGGAAAAGUUAGUAGUUAAUACCUGCUAGCCGUGACGUUAACAACAGAAGAAGCACCGGCUAACUCCGUGCCAGCAGCCGCGGUAAUACGGAGGGUGCGAGCGUUAAUCGGAAUUACUGGGCGUAAAGCGCACGCAGGCGGUUUGUUAAGCUAGAUGUGAAAGUCCCGGGCUCAACCUGGGACGGUCAUUUAGAACUGGCAGACUAGAGUCUUGGAGAGGGGAGUGGAAUUCCAGGUGUAGCGGUGAAAUGCGUAGAUAUCUGGAGGAACAUCAGUGGCGAAGGCGACUCCCUGGCCAAAAACUGACGCUCAUGUGCGAAAGUGUGGGUAGCGAACAGGAUUAGAUACCCUGGUAGUCCACACCGUAAACGCUGUCUACUAGCUGUUUG
This 772-nucleotide ribosomal RNA is filed under the name uncultured Gammaproteobacteria bacterium. RNAcentral describes it as "bacterial SSU rRNA". It matches the Rfam family "Bacterial small subunit ribosomal RNA", at positions 57 to 826 of the family's 1533-position model. Lineage: Bacteria; Pseudomonadati; Pseudomonadota; Gammaproteobacteria. The record is from RNAcentral.